Long non-coding RNA from Brienomyrus brachyistius, 1319 nucleotides. RefSeq lists it as uncharacterized. Lineage: Eukaryota; Metazoa; Chordata; Actinopteri; Osteoglossiformes; Mormyridae. The record is from RefSeq and is a predicted model, not a curated record. The transcript has 2 exons.
UAACAAUAAUAAUAAUAAUAAUAAUAAUAAUAAUAAUAAUAAUAAUGAAACGUGAAACCUGACGGAGUUCUCUUUACCCAGAAUCCAGUUACAGACAUGCCCAGUGGGGGUGUCCACGUAGCCCCUGUGCCUGUGUAAGAAUGAACAGCAGGCAGACGGUGCCCAUGUGAUUAGAUGGGAGGCAGCGAUUGGCCAGAAAACAGCCUCGCUGUUUCACCACCUUGAUGGCGCUGGCAUCAAACAGCAGAGCAAAAACGCCACCCUUUCCAAAUUCCUGGGAAGGGUAGUGGAGUGGGAUGAGUAGCCAGGACGCCACCAUCACAGAUAAUGAGGGGUGGGAGGGAGACAUCGCAAAAUCACGGACGGGUACCUGAGCUGACAGAAUGGAUCGGACACAAGCAACGGAGAGUGAAUUGUACCCUGACAAUAAUACUGAAUCAUUCCAUCGAAUCCACCCUUAAUGUAAACAUUUUGCCUUUCAUCAUAAUCAUUCAUUUAAUGAAUAAAAUAUUAACCAACAUAAUUUAUAACAGCGCAGGUCCCUAUGAGGCUCUAAACCCAUCCUGCGACCUCGUACUGCACAGGCAGUAGUGGGAUGGAUAGAGGGUUGCAUUUCAUGUGAUAAAUUCAUUUAAUACAACCACAACAGCCUUUUGCCGGAAAGUGAUGACUCUUUACCUACUUUGACUUCAUGGUGUGGGAUGCUCUUUCAAAAAAGAAAAGGUUGCAUUUACUUUUCUGUUGCCAUGACUACACUGGCAUGAAUACCGGGCCGGACGGCAUAAGCAGGCAUGUUCUGAAAACUCAUUCAGUCCCCUUUUUGGACUGCAGUGUCACUGUCCAGAAAUAGCCAGGGCCCAGUUCUGUCUCCGUUCUGUAAAUUGCAGAAUAAGUUGGAGGAUUUUGACCGAGCAGCCUACCAUACCCCCCCCCCCCCCCCACCCCCACCAAAUGAAGACACACAGUUUGUAACUGGCAAUGUCAGGGGUCCUUGCAUAGCUAAAAAAAAAAGUUAUAAUAAGCUUGAGGUUGACAACCUUGAUUUAAAAUAAAGUUACUCAGAAAUACCAUUUGUAAUCCUACAUUUCAUGCUGGUACAUGGCCCUCAAAACUACUUUCCUUAUAAAAUGCUCUAUAAAUUUGACCUUCGCUUGUACUGUGGACACAAUUUGGGGGGAGGGGAUCGGUUCUUUAACGGAGCACCAUGGUUACCUUGGAAACAUAAAUGUAUAUAUUAUGGUUUGUCACUGCUUCAGGAUUAAGUCACACCUUGAUAAACCUGCUGUCGUACUGUAAUAUAAUUUCCAAAAAACACAAAA